RNAcentral lists this unclassified non-coding RNA (344 nucleotides) under soil metagenome. RNAcentral's name for it is "partial contains 5.8S ribosomal RNA, internal transcribed spacer 2, and large subunit ribosomal RNA". The stretch from base 1 to 120 matches the Rfam family "5.8S ribosomal RNA", at positions 35 to 154 of the family's 154-position model. The record is from RNAcentral.
GAUGAAGAACGCAGCGAAAUGCGAUAAGUAAUGUGAAUUGCAGAAUUCAGUGAAUCAUCGAAUCUUUGAACGCACAUUGCGCCCGCCAGUAUUCUGGCGGGCAUGCCUGUUCGAGCGUCAUUUCAACCCUCAGGGCCCUUUUGGACCUGGCGUUGGGGCUCGGCCGCUACCCUGCGGCCGUCCCCGAAAGAUAGUGGCGGUCUCGCUGUAGCCUCCUCUGCGUAGUAGUUACAUCUCGCACUGGAACGCGGCGCGGCCAUGCUGUUAAACACCCCACUUCUCAAGGUUGACCUCGGAUCAGGUAGGAAUACCCGCUGAACUUAAGCAUAUCAAUAAGCGGAGGA